RNAcentral lists this transfer RNA (77 nucleotides) under Alphaproteobacteria bacterium. Its description in RNAcentral is "tRNA-Arg". It matches the Rfam family "tRNA". Rfam says of the family: Transfer RNA (tRNA) molecules are approximately 80 nucleotides in length. Their secondary structure includes four short double-helical elements and three loops (D, anti-codon, and T loops). The record is from RNAcentral. Lineage: Bacteria; Pseudomonadati; Pseudomonadota; Alphaproteobacteria.
GCGCCCGUGGCUCAACUGGAUAGAGCGCUUGACUACGGAUCAAGAGGUUGGGGGUUCGAAUCCUCCCGGGCGCGCCA